UCCUACGGGACGCAGCAGUGAGGAAUAUUGGUCAAUGGGCGCGAGCCUGAACCAGCCAAGUAGCGUGAAGGAUGACUGCCCUACGGGUUGUAAACUUCUUUUAUAAAGGAAUAAAGUGAGGCACGUGUGCCUUUUUGUAUGUACUUUAUGAAUAAGGAUCGGCUAACUCCGUGCCAGCAGCCGCGGUAAUACGGAGGAUCCGAGCGUUAUCCGGAUUUAUUGGGUUUAAAGGGUGCGUAGGCGGCAUUAUAAGUUAGUGGUAAAAUAUUGGGGCUUCACCUCACUACGCCAUUAAUACUGUAGAG
RNAcentral lists this ribosomal RNA (305 nucleotides) under uncultured bacterium. Its description in RNAcentral is "bacterial SSU rRNA". It matches the Rfam family "Bacterial small subunit ribosomal RNA", at positions 337 to 640 of the family's 1533-position model. The record is from RNAcentral.